Molecule: long non-coding RNA, 4098 nt
Filed under: Polistes fuscatus (common paper wasp)
Lineage: Eukaryota; Metazoa; Arthropoda; Insecta; Hymenoptera; Vespidae
Description: uncharacterized LOC122526088
Source: RNAcentral
CAGUUAGUUAAUCUUAUGUUCUUAUGUGCUGAGUAGUAGGAAUUAGCAGUUAGUUAAUCUUAUGUUCUUAUGUGCUGAGGAGUUUACAAUACUUUAUAUAAUAGACAUGAAUAAAGGAAAUAAUACCACAUUUUCGGGUCACAAAAAUAUUCGGACACUUCUUACGCUUCGGGAUUCUGUUUUUCUCAGAAACCGCUGUUUCGGAGAAUGGUAAGUGUUUGUAUACAAACAUAGCUUUGGUCGUUGAUACCAUUUCAAUAAGCUUCAGUACCAACUCUAAUAUUCAUGAAAAUGGGUCGGAAAGGUAGAAAUACAUCGUUUGAAAUGCGUCAGCUCGUAAUAUUCCACCGGGAAAAGGGAAAAUCGUAUCGGGAAAUAAGUUCCAUGCUCGGUGUUAGCAAAAGUACUGUGUCGGACAUUGUGAGAAGAUACAAUACUGAGGAUCGUAUUAAAUCUAUCCCCUAAAUCGGCCGACCACCUGUUUUAAACGCGAGAGAUAGAAUGUACGAUCGGAAUCGAUCGUGAGCGAGAAAGUAGCAUUUUGUAAAACGCGCCCUUAGUCCGACAUUAGCGAUCAUAUCCCCACCACUCGGCGCCGAGCGUGGGCACGCCCUGCUGGGCCCAUUAUCGAAGACAUUCGGUCUAUUCUUUCGCCAGACGCUUAAGAGAACACUUCAUUUUUCCAACGAACAUAGUAAACGAUUCAACAUCCCAGGAGUAGUGCGAUCACAUCCCAGGAUCGACGAUAGAUAGGUGACGGACCGCAGAGGCGGUAAUUAACGAUAAAGGUGACGGACCGCAGAGGCGGUAAUUAACGAUAAAGAAAGGGAGAGGCGAUACGAAACGCUGAAUCCAAUCGCCGGAGGACUCCACGUAGGAGGAAUUUUUGGCAAAUACAUAGAAGAAGAAUCGUAAGAAAAGUUAAGUGCAAUCCAUGUUUAAGUGCACCAACACUAGCCAGUGAGGUUUUCGAAGAGACGAAAAAGAAGGUUUCGGCAGGAACAAUUCGACGAACUUUAAGAGAACAUGGCUAUAAUGGUAGGGUUGCUAGGAAGAAACCCUUUAUUAAGGGGUUAUAUCCACUUGUGAUUUUCAAAAAAAAUUUCUUUUUUUUUUUCAUUUUUUGAAUGUAAAUAUAUUCAAGAAUAUUCUCUGAAAAUUUCAAAUCGAUCCGACAAUUAGUUUCGGAGAUGUGAGCGUAUUAGUAAGAACGUCUCCGAGCGUUCGAAAGUAGGCGGAGCACGAGCCGAAGUAGCAGCUGUUUCUGGUAGCCGCUAUACUUUUGAUCUCGACUUAUAUUGUGUUUGGGACCCUAAGAUAAUAAUACAAAAGGUCUAGUUUAUACGUGAAACCUAUGUUGAGGAAUUUUAAGUUAAAAAUAUGUGAACUCAUCAGUUAAAAGUGAUCUUCCACGUGGACAAGUUGUGUUUUUGCUCAGUUUGUGUAUUUCUCAGUGUGUAUAGUUUAAUUAAUUAAAGUAAAAAAUGCCUCGUAAAAUUAGCAGAGAAACUCGUAGAACUUCCAGUGAACAGUUGUCUCGAAGAAAUAAACGGAAGAACGUUUUUAAUCCGAAAACCGUGGAAUAUGAUGAUAGCAGUUUGAUUAUGAGGCCUUACCACCUGAUGUUGCAACAGCUAUUUUUCCAAUUUACGAAGAUCUAAGUAACAAAAAAUUAUUGGAACGAUGCGUUGGUGGUUUUACCCAGAACAAUAAUGAAAGUUAUAAUCAGCUGAUAUGGAAAAUAACUCCAAAAAUUAUUCCAGCUGGCUCUAAAAUUGUGGAAAUAGCUGCAAACAUUGCAGCCGGGGUCUUUAAUGAAGAGGACGCAGAGCGCAUCUCAAUUUCGGACGCAAGAGCGCAAGGGUCGACGCGCGAGGGGAGAAUGGCUCGUAGACAACAACAACUAAACAUUUUGGAGGCAAACGACGAAGCAGAGGGUUCCUCUUAUGGUGCUGGAAUAGAUGACACGAUGUAAUUUGAAAAAAAAAAUUUUUAAUUUAGUGUAAAUCAUUCCCGAAACUUUAAACGCGUUUAUCUCGAAACCGUGUUUUCAGAGUUGGUGAGGAAAAUUUCUCCGAAACCGCUAAACCGAUCGGUUUGAAAUUUUCACACAACUUACUCAGAUAUAUUUUUCAGGUAAUGAUCGAAGGAAUAAGGUUUUGGACAAUAAUUUCGAUUUUUUAAGCCACUUUGAAGUGAAAAAUUUUCAUAAAAAACUGAAUUUUUUUUUUGAACAGCCGCCAUUUUGUCAAAAAUCUAAAUUUUGACUAGUCCUUCGAUCAUUACCUGUAUUUAUUUAUUACAAAACUAAACAUUUUUGGUUUUUGGUUUUCAAAUAAUUUGGACCAGAGAUAUCUUGCUCACCGCCAAGCACUUUUUUUUGGAGGUCUCUCCGCAGAUCAUCUACAGGAGCUAGGGGAUCCAAUAUUUUUUUAAAUAAACCGUUGAUUGUUAAAGUACAUUAAAUUCUGUUUAAGUACAUUUUUUUCAUUAAUGUAUAAAAUUAAAUGCCUCUUUGGAAAAAAUUCACAAAAAAACGCGUUUUUUCUGCCUCGCAAGUGGAUAUAACCCCUUAAUGAAGCAAAUAGGAGAAAACGAAUAAACUACGCAAAGGAGUAUAUUUCUAAAGAAAAUUCAUGGUGGAGUAAUGUUAUAUUUGCCGAUGAGAGUAAAUUUAACAUUACGAUUUCGACGGAAGACGUAUGGUGUGGCGUAAGCCGAAUACAGAGUUUCGGCCUGCCAAUAUGAGAGGUACGGUGAAACACGGAGGUGGCAGCGUAAUGGUUUGGGGCUGCAUGUCGACUUCCGGCGUUGGAAAUUUAGUUUUUAUCGAUGGCAUCAUGGAUAAGAAUGCUUACUUGAGCCUCUUGAAGAACAAUUUAAAACAAAGUGCGGAAAAAAUGGGGAUUUCAGAAGACUUUAAAUUUUACCAGGAUAAUGAUCCUAAGCAUAAAGCACGUAUUGUACAGGAAUUUUUAUUAUACAAUUGCCGCAAAGUUCUUCAUCCUCCUCCACAGUCGCCGGACCUUAAUCCCAUAGAAAACUUAUGGGAUGAAUUGAACCGACGGAUUCGCAGGAUGCCCAUUCGCUCAAAAGAAGAGUUAAAAAUAAGGCUUCAAGACGAAUGGUCAUACAUAUCCAUAGAAUACGUAAAAAAAAUAAUUUCUAAUAUGCCGAGUCGAUUAAGACACGUCAUAAAACAAAAUGGUUAUGCAACAAAAUAUUAAAGUGGGGUGGUUAAUGUUAAAUUUUGUGUCAAAGAUGUUAUUUUUGAUAGUGUCCGAAUAUUUUUGUGACCCGAAAAUGUGGCAUUAUUUCCUUUAUUUAUGGCUAUUAUAUAUGUAAUGUAUGUAAAUUUUAUAAACUAAUCAUAUGUCUUUAGUAACAUGAAUAAAACGCUUAUUAUUAGAAAAAGUAACAGACACGAUUCCUUUUCACAUAACUGAGAUAUUAAGUCGUAAAGCUUGCAAUACACUGGUGUCCGAAUAUUUCUGAGAGUCACUGUAGAUCGAAUAUGAUUAUUGAAAUAGGAAAAUAUCGGUGAAGUUAUAAUUGUCAUAAUUUAACAAAAUGUAGGAGGGGACGAAGUAAAUGAAAGCCAGGAAUGUGUAAUAAUAUCGCGAAUGCGAGGAUUGAACCGCGUUUUAAAAUAAUAGCAGCGAUCAACUUGAUGUCUUACCGUGCACCGGGCUUUGAUACGACGAUAAUAUAGAUCUUAAAAAAAAAAAAGAAAUUAGAAAAAACACAAAGUGAAGAAAAAAGGUUUAAAAAAAAAAAGCGUUUAAAAAUAAUGAAAAAAAGUAAAAAGUGUUUAGUAUAUUCGACUGUACGCUUGAAACAUAAAAGAUAGAAAGAAAGAAGAAAAACAAAGAAAAACAAAUGACAACCGCGUUUUUCUGCGCAAACGAGGAAUCAUCAUCACCAUAGGUGGUUUCUUAUUGGUAUAGCAUCGUAAUUUUUCUUACCUAGUCCACGCCUAGAGAGAAAGCGAGUAUUAAACAAUAAUAAAAUAAUAAAAUCACUUGACACGCGCGCGCGCCCCCCCGAGUUCAUGAAAACGGCAAAUAAGAUGUUUUUUUUUCCAUAACGAGGAAGAAA